UGUAAUCAAUGUGGUAAAGCCUUUUCACAGAACAGUCAUCUUCAUAGGCAUGAAAGAAGUCAUACCGGGGAGAAACCCUAUGGAUGUAAUCAAUGUGGUAAAGCCUUUGCAUGUAAAAGUGACCUUCACAGGCACGAAAGAAGACAUACUGGAGAGAAACACUAUAGUUGUAAACAGUGUGGUAAAGUCUUUUUACAGACCAGUCAUCUUCAUAGGCAUGAAAGAAGUCAUACUGGACAAAAUGCUUAUGAAUGUAAUCAGUGUGGUAAAGCCUUUACAUGUUGAGCAACUUUUAAAAGUAUGACAGAAUUCACACUGGCAAAAAGCCAUGAACCUAAUGAGUGAGGUAAAGCCUUCCUUGCAUUCCAAAUACAUUUUUCCCAUUGAGCUAUUUUACUGGGGCUUGAGUAAGAUUAGAAACAGUCCAUCAUUAAAAUACUGUCUCCUUUACAAAUUGUAAACAUAUUGUCAUCCAAGGAUCUAGGAACAAACAAU
This 495-nucleotide long non-coding RNA is filed under the name Rattus norvegicus (Norway rat). RNAcentral describes it as "long non-coding RNA NONRATT026415". The record is from RNAcentral. Lineage: Eukaryota; Metazoa; Chordata; Mammalia; Rodentia; Muridae.